UAACUGAUACUGACGAGCUUGCUCUGAUUGUGAUUUUAUCUGACAAAGAGUGGCGAACGGGUGAGUAACACGUGGGUAACCUACCUCUUAGCAGGGGAUAACAUUUGGAAACAAGUGCUAAUACCGUAUAAUACCAACAACCGCAUGGUUGUUGGUUGAAAGAUGGUUCUGCUAUCACUAAGAGAUGGACCCGCGGUGCAUUAGCUAGUUGGUAAGGUAACGGCUUACCAAGGCAAUGAUGCAUAGCCGAGUUGAGAGACUGAUCGGCCACAAUGGGACUGAGACACGGCCCAUACUCCUACGGGAGGCAGCAGUAGGGAAUCUUCCACAAUGGGCGCAAGCCUGAUGGAGCAACGCCGCGUGUGUGAUGAAGGGUUUCGGCUCGUAAAACACUGUUAUAAGAGAAGAACGGCACUGAGAGUAACUGUUCAGUGUGUGACGGUAUCUUACCAGAAAGGAACGGCUAAAUACGUGCCAGCAGCCGCGGUAAUACGUAUGUUCCAAGCGUUAUCCGGAUUUAUUGGGCGUAAAGCGAGCGCAGACGGUUAUUUAAGUCUGAAGUGAAAGCCCUCAGCUCAACUGAGGAAUGGCUUUGGAAACUGGAUGACUUGAGUGCAGUAGAGGAAAGUGGAACUCCAUUGGUAGCCGC
This 649-nucleotide ribosomal RNA is filed under the name Weissella paramesenteroides. Its description in RNAcentral is "bacterial SSU rRNA". It matches the Rfam family "Bacterial small subunit ribosomal RNA", at positions 45 to 682 of the family's 1533-position model. Lineage: Bacteria; Bacillati; Bacillota; Bacilli; Lactobacillales; Lactobacillaceae. The record is from RNAcentral.